RNAcentral lists this ribosomal RNA (429 nucleotides) under uncultured bacterium. Its description in RNAcentral is "bacterial SSU rRNA". It matches the Rfam family "Bacterial small subunit ribosomal RNA", at positions 355 to 776 of the family's 1533-position model. The record is from RNAcentral. RNAcentral also lists the same sequence under 2 other names.
UGGGGAAUAUUGGACAAUGGGCGAAAGCCUGAUCCAGCCAUGCCGCGUGUGUGAAGAAGGUCUUCGGAUUGUAAAGCACUUUAAGUUGGGAGGAAGGGCAGUAAGUUAAUACCUUGCUGUUUUGACGUUACCAACAGAAUAAGCACCGGCUAACUUCGUGCCAGCAGCCGCGGUAAUACGAAGGGUGCAAGCGUUAAUCGGAAUUACUGGGCGUAAAGCGCGCGUAGGUGGUUCAGCAAGUUGGAUGUGAAAUCCCCGGGCUCAACCUGGGAACUGCAUCCAAAACUACUGAGCUAGAGUACGGUAGAGGGUGGUGGAAUUUCCUGUGUAGCGGUGAAAUGCGUAGAUAUAGGAAGGAACACCAGUGGCGAAGGCGACCACCUGGACUGAUACUGACACUGAGGUGCGAAAGCGUGGGGAGCAAACAGG